AAACCAAAUAAAAACCAAUAUAAAAGUGUUGUGGCUGCAAAGACGAAAACUUAAAAACCAACCCCUGGAUAAGGUACGCCAAGAAAAAAAUGAAAAAGUGACCUUAUUACAUAAUUCCAUGUAUGUACUGUACAUAGGUUAUGAUCCACGUGUGGCAGGAAAUUGCUGACCUGGCCUGACCCUCGGUUUCGGAGGGGGGGUCCGCUCCAGUACCACGAUCAUCCGUCCCUCUUUUGGUGCCACCGGACCUUGCCUGCAGGCGAAAAAACGGAUGGACUUGGCGAUCGGGACCGAGUUGUUUAUAUACAUAUAUCUCACGCGCAACUAUUAAACCAUCUGUAAAACCAUAUUAUAUCACCGCGCCUUGUGUAAAGAAAUGUUGGUGCUUGCAUAUGUAGGGUGUGGAAAAAUUAGCUCAGCGGUCAUUGCCCUUGCGGCUGACCAUACACCUAUGCGCACUUAAAUAGACCCACCUGACCGUAUGUCACCUAUUCUCUCCUUCUCUCAGG
This 509-nucleotide long non-coding RNA is filed under the name Drosophila guanche. The record is from RNAcentral. Lineage: Eukaryota; Metazoa; Arthropoda; Insecta; Diptera; Drosophilidae.